RNAcentral lists this ribosomal RNA (232 nucleotides) under Clostridioides difficile. RNAcentral describes it as "partial 23S ribosomal RNA". It matches the Rfam family "Bacterial large subunit ribosomal RNA", at positions 1637 to 1880 of the family's 2925-position model. The record is from RNAcentral. Lineage: Bacteria; Bacillati; Bacillota; Clostridia; Peptostreptococcales; Peptostreptococcaceae.
GGUACCCGUACCGCAAACCGACACAGGUGGGUGAGGAGAGUAUCCUAAGGCCAGCGAGAGAACUGUUGUUAAGGAACUCGGCAAAAUGACCCCGUAACUUAGGGAUAAGGGGUGCCACCAUCAGGUGGCCGCAGAGAAUAGGCCCAAGCGACUGUUUACCAAAAACAUAGGUUUCUGCUAAGUCGCAAGACGAUGUAUAGGAGCUGACGCCUGCCCGGUGCUGGAAGGUUAA